Peromyscus eremicus (cactus mouse) is the source of this 322-nucleotide long non-coding RNA. RefSeq lists it as uncharacterized. NCBI's taxonomy places the organism in Eukaryota, Metazoa, Chordata, Mammalia, Rodentia, Cricetidae. The record is from RefSeq and is a predicted model, not a curated record. The transcript is spliced from 3 exons.
AUAGCUCAUAUUCUAGGUUUUUCAGUUUCAGUUCCUGAAAACCAACUUAUCAAUACAAUCUGCUUCAGCAACUGUCUCUGGCAUGGGCUUUACCCCAGAGACCACUUUCUGUCCCCAGCAUCAUCCUCCAAUAUGGGAAGAAGCCCUCAGGACUAGACGUGGAGAAGACAAGACAGUGGGGGAAUGGAAAGCUGGUCACAUCGGGUCCGCAGUCAGGAAGCAGAGACAGGCAGGAUCAAUACCACUCAAAGCCAAAUGUCUCUUCUGGGAUUCAAAACCAUCUCUUAACUGAGCACUCUGGAAAAAAAAUGUAAACAAGUAA